UAUGUGAUCGUCUCUCGCAUAUCAAUAAGCGGAGGAAAAGAAACUAACAAGGAUUCCCCUAGUAACGGCGAGUGAAGCGGGAAGAGCUCAAAUUUGAAAUCUUAAAGGGUUUCCCUUUACGAAUUGUAGUUUAAAGAAGUGUUUUCUGUUGAGGUUUUGGUAAAAGUUCUUUGGAAUAGGACAUCAUAGAGGGUGAGAAUCCCGUAUUUGACCUUUACUUUCAACUUUGUGAUACACUUUCAAAGAGUCGGAUUGUUUGGGAAUGCAGUCCAAAAUGGGUGGUAAAUUUCAUCUAAAGCUAAAUAUUGGCGAGAGACCGAUAGCGAACAAGUACCGUGAGGGAAAGAUGAUAAAGAACUUUGAAAAGAGAGUUAAACAGUACGUGAAAUUGUCAAAAGGGAAGCGUUUGACACCAGUGUUGUUUUUCUGAAAAUCAAUUAAAGAACUGUUUAUGCUAAGCUGUUUAGACUUUAUCAGCUAUCUGUUUAGUUUUGAGCUUUUCUUUAAUGCACUUUUCAGUUAACAAGUCAACAUCAAUUUCUUUUGCUGUAAAAAAGCUUGAGGAAGGUGGCUUGAGAUUCGUCUUAAGUGUUUAUAGCCUCUUGCCUAUGCAGUCGGAGAGAUUGAGGUCCUGCAGCGUAGAUCCUUCGGGGCUAAAUGCAUUUGUGCUAAGUUAUAGCAUUUUAUAGACAACUUGUUGACUAUGAUUUGUCUUGUAGCUUACUCGCUUAUGUUAUUUUACCUACGCUUAGGAUGUUGAUCUGUAGUGCGUGCGC
Molecule: ribosomal RNA, 776 nt
Filed under: uncultured Neocallimastigales
Lineage: Eukaryota; Fungi; Neocallimastigomycota; Neocallimastigomycetes; Neocallimastigales
Description: partial large subunit ribosomal RNA
Rfam family: Eukaryotic large subunit ribosomal RNA
Source: RNAcentral